This 345-nucleotide unclassified non-coding RNA is filed under the name soil metagenome. RNAcentral describes it as "partial contains 5.8S ribosomal RNA, internal transcribed spacer 2, and large subunit ribosomal RNA". The stretch from base 1 to 119 matches the Rfam family "5.8S ribosomal RNA", at positions 35 to 154 of the family's 154-position model. The record is from RNAcentral.
GAUGAAGAACGUAGCGAAAUGCGAUACGUAAUGUGAAUUGCAAAUUCAGUGAAUCAUCGAGUCUUUGAACGCACAUUGCGCCCCCUGGUAUUCCGGGGGGCAUGCCUGUCCGAGCGUCAUUGCUGCCCUCAAGCACGGCUUGUGUGUUGGGCCCCGUCCUCCGAUCCCGGGGGACGGGCCCGAAAAGCAGCGGCGGCACCGCGUCCGGUCCUCGAGCGUAUGGGGCUUUGUCACCCGCUCUGUAGGCCCGGCCGGCGCUUGCCGAUCAACCCAAAUUUUUAUCCAGGUUGACCUCGGAUCAGGUAGGGAUACCCGCUGAACUUAAGCAUAUCAAUGAGCGGAGGA